AGAGUUUGAUCCUGGCUCAGGAUGAACGCUAGCGGCAGGCUUAACACAUGCAAGUCGAGGGGCAGCGGGGAGGAAGCUUGCUUUCUCCGCCGGCGACCGGCGCACGGGUGAGUAACACGUAUGCAACCUGCCCCUGUCAGGGGGACAACCCGCCGAAAGGCGGGCUAAACCCGCGUACAUGCCACCGGGGCAUCCCGGAGGCAGGAAAGGCUUCGGCCGGACAGGGAUGGGCAUGCGGCGCAUUAGGCAGUAGGCGGGGUAACGGCCCACCUAACCGACGAUGCGUAGGGGUUCUGAGAGGAAGGUCCCCCACACUGGUACUGAGACACGGACCAGACUCCUACGGGAGGCAGCAGUGAGGAAUAUUGGUCAAUGGUCGGGAGACUGAACCAGCCAAGCCGCGUGAGGGAGGAAGGUACAGAGUAUCGUAAACCUCUUUUGUCAGGGAACAAAGGCGGGGACGUGUCCCCGGAUGAGUGUACCUGAAGAAAAAGCAUCGGCUAACUCCGUGCCAGCAGCCGCGGUAAUACGGAGGAUGCGAGCGUUAUCCGGAUUUAUUGGGUUUAAAGGGUGCGCAGGCGGUCUGUUAAGUCAGCGGUCAAAGCCCGGGGCUCAACCCCGGCCCGCCGUUGAAACUGGCAGUCUCGAGUUGGAGAGAAGUAUGCGGAAUGCGCGGUGUAGCGGUGAAAUGCAUAGAUAUCGCGCAGAACUCCGAUUGCGAAGGCAGCAUGCCGGCUCCACACUGACGCUGAGGCACGAAAGCGUGGGUAUCGAACAGGAUUAGAUACCCUGGUAGUCCACGCAGUAAACGAUGAAUGCUGGCUGUCCGGGGGGAUUGACCCCUGGGUGGCGAAGCGAAAGCGAUAAGCAUUCCACCUGGGGAGUACGCCGGCAACGGUGAAACUCAAAGGAAUUGACGGGGGCCCGCACAAGCGGAGGAACAUGUGGUUUAAUUCGAUGAUACGCGAGGAACCUUACCCGGGCUCAAACGGGGAGUGACUCAGGCAGAGACGCCUGUUUCCCACGGGACACUCCCCGAGGUGCUGCAUGGUUGUCGUCAGCUCGUGCCGUGAGGUGUUGGCUUAAGUGCCAUAACGAGCGCAACCCCCGCGUGCAGUUGCUAACAGAUAACGCUGAGGACUCUGCACGGACUGCCGGCGCAAGCCGCGAGGAAGGCGGGGAUGGCGUCAAAUCAGCACGGCCCUUACGUCCGGGGCGACACACGUGUUACAAUGGGUGGUACAGCGGGAAGCCAGGCGGCGACGCCGAGCGGAACCCGAAAUCCACUCUCAGUUCGGAUCGGAGUCUGCAACCCGACUCCGUGAAGCUGGAUUCGCUAGUAAUCGCGCAUCAGCCAUGGCGCGGUGAA
Molecule: ribosomal RNA, 1369 nt
Filed under: uncultured bacterium
Lineage: Bacteria
Description: 16S ribosomal RNA
Rfam family: Bacterial small subunit ribosomal RNA
Source: RNAcentral